GAUGAACGCUGGCGGCGUGCCUAAUACAUGCAAGUCGAGCGAACAGACGAGGAGCUUGCUCCUCUGACGUUAGCGGCGGACGGGUGAGUAACACGUGGAUAACCUACCUAUAAGACUGGGAUAACUUCGGGAAACCGGAGCUAAUACCGGAUAAUAUAUUGAACCGCAUGGUUCAAUAGUGAAAGACGGUUUUGCUGUCACUUAUAGAUGGAUCCGCGCCGCAUUAGCUAGUUGGUAAGGUAACGGCUUACCAAGGCAACGAUGCGUAGCCGACCUGAGAGGGUGGUCGGCCACCCUGGAACUGAGACACGGUCCAGACUACUAAGGGAGGCAGCAGUAGGGAAUCUUCCGCAAUGGGCGAAAGCCUGACGGAGCAACGCCGCGUGAGUGAUGAAGGUGUUCGGAUCGUAAAACUCUGUUAUUAGGGAAGAACAAAUGUGUAAGUAACUAUGCACGUCUUGACGGUACCUAAUCAGAAAGCCACGGCUAACUACGUG
This 497-nucleotide ribosomal RNA is filed under the name uncultured bacterium. RNAcentral's name for it is "partial 16S ribosomal RNA". It matches the Rfam family "Bacterial small subunit ribosomal RNA", at positions 28 to 507 of the family's 1533-position model. The record is from RNAcentral.